AUGCACGCUGGCGGCAUGCCUUACACAUGCAAGUCGAACGGCAGCAUGACCUAGCUUGCUAGGUUGAUGGCGAGUGGCGAACGGGUGAGUAAUGCAUCGGAACGUGCCUUUUAGUGGGGGAUAACGUAGCGAAAGUUACGCUAAUACCGCAUAUUCUCUGAGGAGGAAAGCAGGGGACCUUCGGGCCUUGCGCUAGAAGAGCGGCCGAUGUCGGAUUAGCUAGUUGGUGAGGUAAAGGCUCACCAAGGCAACGAUCCGUAGCGGGUCUGAGAGGAUGAUCCGCCACACUGGGACUGAGACAAGGCCCAGACUCCUACGGGAGGCAGCAGUGGGGAAUUUUGGACAAUGGGCGCAAGCCUGAUCCAGCCAUGCCGCGUGAGUGAAGAAGGCCUUCGGGUUGUAAAGCUCUUUCGGCUGGGAAGAAAUCGCACCCUCUAAUACAGGGUGUGGAUGACGGUACCAGCAUAAGAAGCACCGGCUAACUACGUG
RNAcentral lists this ribosomal RNA (489 nucleotides) under uncultured bacterium. RNAcentral's name for it is "partial 16S ribosomal RNA". It matches the Rfam family "Bacterial small subunit ribosomal RNA", at positions 29 to 507 of the family's 1533-position model. The record is from RNAcentral.